GGACUAGCCGCUCAGCACCAGGGCGGAAGGAAGACGAGGCGAGGCAAGCGCCAAGCUUCCAUCCGGACUUCAAGGCCAGUGGCUGGGUCUGGUUUUCUCAACACGGCCUCCUAGUCUCCUUCCCGCUUGGGCAUCUGUUUUUCUUAUAUAGACCCUGAAGCCGCCCGUGAUGUUCUGUAAGCAGGUUCCGCUUCAGAAUCAGAGGUACUUAAGAGGGAACCUGGAUGCUAGACCUGCCCUUGCUGCUGGCCUCAGUUUCUUUACCUGUAAAACAGGGAUUUUGGAACUGUUAAAUUAAAUCAAACUUAAAAGAAUUACAACUUAAAGCUGCUGGAACUUUACAUGAUCCCGAGCCUUGAGAGGAAUGUGGCUAUGCAGCCUGAGUCAUGUGGCAUGCAGAUGCAACCUCUGCCUUUUUCCGCUGUAAAUAAUUAAGAAGACCAAGUAGCAUCCAAGUAGAGACGGGGUUUCACCAUGUUAGCCAGGAUGGUCUCGAUCUCCUGACCUCGUGAUCCACCCACCUUGGCCUCCCAAAGUUCUGGAUUACAGGUGUGAACCACCGCGCCCGGCCGCCUGUUGUCAUUAAUACUGCCCCGUUCACUCUCCAAAGUGUCACAGUUUGAGCGAUAAAUUAUUUGAUCUCC
Molecule: long non-coding RNA, 644 nt
Filed under: Homo sapiens (human)
Lineage: Eukaryota; Metazoa; Chordata; Mammalia; Primates; Hominidae
Description: long intergenic non-protein coding RNA 265
Source: RNAcentral